GCCAGGUGUAGUGGCACAUGCCUGUAGUCCCAGCUACUGGGAAGGCUGAGGCUGGAGGAUCGCUUGAGCCCAGGGGUCUCUCUAUGUUGCCCAGGCUGUAGUGCACUAUGCUGACCGGGUGUCCACACUAAGUUCGGCAUCAAUAUGGCGACCUCCUGGGAGCGGGGUACCGGCCCCAGGUUAGAAAUGGAGCAGGUCAAAACUCCCAUGCUGAUCAGUAGUGGGAUCGCGCGUGUGAAUAGCCACUGCACUCCAGCCUGGGCAACAUAGAGAGACCCUGUCACUU
This 286-nucleotide signal recognition particle RNA is filed under the name Callithrix jacchus (white-tufted-ear marmoset). RNAcentral's name for it is "Metazoan signal recognition particle RNA (ENSCJAG00000067703.2)". It matches the Rfam family "Metazoan signal recognition particle RNA". From Rfam's summary of the family: The signal recognition particle (SRP) is a universally conserved ribonucleoprotein. It is involved in the co-translational targeting of proteins to membranes. The record is from Rfam by way of RNAcentral. Lineage: Eukaryota; Metazoa; Chordata; Mammalia; Primates; Cebidae.